UCAAACAUUUUGUUGCAGAUCGAGAAAAACAUGUAUUGAAGAUGAAGAUCUUUUGCAUUCAAGUGAAACUGUCAAUUCAGGACUAGAUUCUGAUACCCUAAAAGAAUAUGAAGCAGUGAAUGAAAGAAUGGGAUUGUCUUGUGGAGUUUUAAAAAAACGAUCGAAUUUAUGUUAUACUAGAUGGCAUCGACUAAGAUUAAAAACCUAAGGGUAUUACAGAAGAGGAAUAGAAUAUUACACUGUGGCAGUUGUUGAAUACUUGGGAGUAAUAGAGAAGAACAAGUAAACCUACUGCAAGACUUUUUUAGGAAAACUCGAUGAACAAUUUAUGUCUAAUAUUAAUAUGAAUUUAUUAAUACUAAA
Long non-coding RNA from Saccostrea echinata, 363 nucleotides. RefSeq lists it as uncharacterized. The record is from RefSeq and is a predicted model, not a curated record. The transcript is spliced from 3 exons. Lineage: Eukaryota; Metazoa; Mollusca; Bivalvia; Ostreida; Ostreidae.